UCGGGGUAAAAUAGCGAGUAACCGACUUGAGGAAGUGAUCAACCCUUGUGAUAUGUUUAAAUCUGCUUUUUUUUUUUUUACUCCAUAAACUUUUUAUCGAGUGUAAAAAGAUUCUUAUUGGGAUAUAAAAAAAACCAGAUUUAAAUUUAACCCAAGGGUUGGUGAUGUAUUUUCCCCAAGAAGGCUUCUCACUAUUUUACCCUAU
Molecule: microRNA precursor, 205 nt
Filed under: Medicago truncatula (barrel medic)
Lineage: Eukaryota; Viridiplantae; Streptophyta; Magnoliopsida; Fabales; Fabaceae
Description: MIR2670 microRNA precursor family
Rfam family: MIR2670 microRNA precursor family
Source: Rfam by way of RNAcentral